CCCUUAGAUGUUCUGGGCCGCACGCGCGCUACACUGAUGCAUUCAACGAGUCUAAAACCUGCUCUGAUAGGGGUGGGUAAUCUUUUGAAUGUGCAUCGUGAUUGGGGUAGAUGAUUGCAAUUUUUCAUCUUCAACGAGGAAUGCCUAGUAAACGCAAGUCAUCAGCUUGCAUUGAUUACGUCCCUGCCCUUUGUACACACCGCCCGUCGCUCCUACCGAUUGAAUGAUCCGAUGAAUAUCAUGGAUUGAGGAUGCAAGUAGGUUAGCCUAUCUUCAUCUUCGAGAAGUGAAGUAAAUCUUAUCAUUUAGAGGAAGGAGAAGUCGUAACA
RNAcentral lists this ribosomal RNA (329 nucleotides) under uncultured eukaryote. RNAcentral's name for it is "partial 18S ribosomal RNA". It matches the Rfam family "Eukaryotic small subunit ribosomal RNA", at positions 1470 to 1796 of the family's 1831-position model. The record is from RNAcentral.